UUUUUUGACAUUUCGUUUGUUAACGACUUUUUCUGGCCGCAGUUUGACCAGCUCUUGACGUUUUUACAUAAUAUUCUUCCUAAAGGGCCGGAAGUUAUAUACAAUGUCACUGACACAAGUCGUACGUAGUUGCAGCCGCUUUGCUGCUGCAUCGAAGGCACUGCGUGUGACCGCCGCAGUCUCGUCCACUGCCCAGCCACAGCUGCGUAUGAUGCACAGGAUUAGUGUCAACACACCUGCCAUGAGCAUUUUGCUUAAUCAG
This is a long non-coding RNA of Rhagoletis pomonella (apple maggot), 262 nucleotides long. RefSeq lists it as uncharacterized. The transcript is spliced from 2 exons. The record is from RefSeq and is a predicted model, not a curated record. NCBI's taxonomy places the organism in Eukaryota, Metazoa, Arthropoda, Insecta, Diptera, Tephritidae.